AUCUAUAAAAACGGUGAUGCCACCACGCCUUAAAUUUAAGAGGAAUUAAUUAAACUAAGAAUGCAGAAUUAAAUCAAAUAAAAUACGCUUGAAGUAAAUCAAUAAAAAGGGUAAUUCGGCUCAAAUAAAUCCACUCUAAUUCAACUCUGAUCCUCGACGCAAUAAUUAAUCAAUCCCUAUCAACCAACCAGUUAUAGGAUACCGUGAAACGCAACGGACGUACCC
This 225-nucleotide long non-coding RNA is filed under the name Salvia miltiorrhiza (redroot sage). Its description in RNAcentral is "long non-coding RNA (SMIL_LNC011318)". The record is from RNAcentral. Lineage: Eukaryota; Viridiplantae; Streptophyta; Magnoliopsida; Lamiales; Lamiaceae.